Molecule: ribosomal RNA, 270 nt
Filed under: uncultured bacterium
Lineage: Bacteria
Description: partial 16S ribosomal RNA
Rfam family: Bacterial small subunit ribosomal RNA
Source: RNAcentral
UACGUAGGGUGCGAGCGUUAAUCGGAAUUACUGGGCGUAAAGCGUGCGCAGGCGGUUAUAUAAGACAGAUGUGAAAUCCCCGGGCUCAACCUGGGAAUUGCGAUGGAGACUGCAAGGCUAGAAUCUGGCAGAGGGGGUAGAAUUCCACGUGUAGCAGUGAAAUGCGUAGAGAUGUGGAGGAAUACCGAUGGCGAAGGCAGCCCCCUGGGUUAACACUGACGCUCAUGCACGAAAGCGUGGGGAGCAAACAGGAUUAGAAACCCGUGUAGU